GCAUAUCAAUAAGCGGAGGAAAAGAAACCAACAGGGAUUGCCUCAGUAACGGCGAGUGAAGCGGCAACAGCUCAAAUUUGAAAUCUGGCCUCUUUGGGGUCCGAGUUGUAAUUUGUAGAGGAUGUUUCGGGCACCGCUCCGGUUUAAAUUUCUUGGAACAGAAUGUCAAAGAGGGUGAGAACCCCGUCUUGGACCGGCAGUAGGGCCCAUGUGAAACUCCUUCGACGAGUCGAGUUGUUUGGGAAUGCAGCUCAAAAUGGGUGGUAAAUUUCAUCUAAAGCUAAAUAUUGGCCAGAGACCGAUAGCGCACAAGUAGAGUGAUCGAAAGAUGAAAAGCACUUUGAAAAGAGAGUUAAACAGUACGUGAAAUUGUUGAAAGGGAAGCGCUUGCAACCAGACUUGCGCGCGGCGGUUCCCCCUUCCUUUUGGUUGGGUUAUUCCGCCGUGUCCAGGCCAACAUCGGUUCUGGGGGUCGGUUAAAGGCCUGGGGAAUGUAUCUACCCUUCGGGCGUAUACUUAUAUCCCCGGGUGUCAUGCGACCUCCCGGGACCGAGGAACGCGCUUCGGCUCGGAUGUUGGCGUAAUGGUUGUCAGCGACCCGUCUUGAAACACGCACCA
RNAcentral lists this ribosomal RNA (618 nucleotides) under Exophiala dermatitidis. RNAcentral describes it as "LSU rRNA". It matches the Rfam family "Eukaryotic large subunit ribosomal RNA", at positions 38 to 668 of the family's 3401-position model. The record is from RNAcentral. Lineage: Eukaryota; Fungi; Ascomycota; Eurotiomycetes; Chaetothyriales; Herpotrichiellaceae.